This 80-nucleotide transfer RNA is filed under the name Lentinula raphanica. RNAcentral describes it as "tRNA-Ser". It matches the Rfam family "tRNA". Rfam says of the family: Transfer RNA (tRNA) molecules are approximately 80 nucleotides in length. The record is from RNAcentral. Lineage: Eukaryota; Fungi; Basidiomycota; Agaricomycetes; Agaricales; Omphalotaceae.
GGCCCAGUAGCUCAGUGGUAGAGCACUGCACCAGAAAGGCAGGGGGGCCAGGUUCAAAUAAUUCAAUCCCUGGCUCGGCC